Molecule: long non-coding RNA, 1161 nt
Organism: Daktulosphaira vitifoliae (grape phylloxera)
Lineage: Eukaryota; Metazoa; Arthropoda; Insecta; Hemiptera; Phylloxeridae
Exons: 3
Source: RefSeq, a predicted model, not a curated record
GAAAACUGCUCUUCAUUUUUACUUUCACUUUCCUAAAGAAAAAGUAGUAGAAUUAAUCGUCACCACUAAACAGACAUAUAUUAAUAUAAUUGAUCUGUUUUUAAGACGUUGAUUAUUAUAAUUUAAAAGAUAGAUAAAUGAUAAUAAUUAAAAAAGUAAUAGUACACCAUGACGGGGUAAAUUUCCAGCUCACUUAACAAAAUAUUGUAUCAUAGAGUUUUUUGAGUUACAUAACCUUCCAACUUAAUCAUUAUUCUAUUAUUUAAUUUUGAAUUCAAUAUUGUGUCGAAAAAUUUAGUGUUAUAUUCGUAGGCGCGCUAAUAGAAUACAAUUUUAAAUUAAUUUCAUAAUCUGCAGAUAUCGUUUGUUAUACUACACCAAAACAUCUUAUUAAAUCUUCAUUUUCACUGAUAAUUAUUGACCACAAAGAAGGAUUAGCAAGAAAUCGAUGCGCAGUAUUACAAUCGUUAGAUGUACCACUUGGCCCUGGUCGUAGAACAUUUACCAUAAACCCCAUUUGUUCUUAAUUUAUACAAGUACAACUUAAUUUUAUAUACAUCUCUUGUUGCCACUUUUCAAUAUCCAAAUGGUUGGAUUACAUGUAACAGAUAUUUGAAUACGUGUAAUAUGGAUAACCCAUUGUUGAAUGUUUCUGAAUUCGUAGGUCGUUUCCAUACAACGCCAUUAUCAUUCAUUUUUUAGGAGAAACAAGGUGCCGUAAGACAUAAGAAGAGACAUAAACUAAUGAGUGUAUAGUAGGUAGCCAUAGUAUGCUCGACUGCCACUUCGGUUCUAUCGAGAGUGUCGAAGAGCUGUUGACAUAGGAAGUUUAGGAGGAUCAAGGUAUAAGAUGCAGACGAAGUACAAGACACGAGUACUUGAGUUAAUCAGGAGACGAAACAAGCGUCUAGAAGUAUGCGACUGAAAAUGUGUAACGGUAAAAUCCGAUUACUAAUACACACUGCAAAAAAUGAAUACUCAAGUCAAAAAGUCAGAGCGAUAAAUUCAAAUAAUCAGAUAAACAAAAUUAAAGUGUCAUAAAUGUACAUUAUAAUGAAAAUAUUGCAUGAGAGAACGUGACUUGGAUGCCAAAUGGUAAGAUAAUAGGAAACCUAUCUUUACUAAUACUUAUUCAGUUGUGUUCUUUUCUGUCCCAUGGGU